This 4946-nucleotide long non-coding RNA is filed under the name Setaria viridis. RNAcentral's name for it is "long non-coding RNA (SVIR_LNC006232)". Lineage: Eukaryota; Viridiplantae; Streptophyta; Magnoliopsida; Poales; Poaceae. The record is from RNAcentral.
CUUCAGAUUCCAGCGGCGAGAGGCCGAAAUCGAGGCGAGGCCACCGCUCGGCGCGCCCUCCCGCCUGCUUUCCUCCCGGCUCCAGCAGGCAGGCCAGCCUGCCAACCGAGCGGCGCACCAGCCAGCCGCCGUCUUCUUCUAGGCUGCAGCGGAGCGGAGAUCCACCCGGAGUCCCCACCGCUUCCUCCUUCUCCUGGUAAGGAAGCCCUAGCUUUGCUCGUGGAUGGAUUGUCCUAGGACCGGGUCUUGUCCCGCGGGAUCUUCCCCUUUUUUUCUCCCUUUUCCUGCGUGACCAAUCGAACCCGAAUCUUACUAACUGAGAUUGAUUCCUGCUCCAAUCCGUUCAGUUUGCGGCGGAAUUCGUUUACUGCGCUACCUAGGGGAAGCUUGCUUGUUUUCCCCAACAUUUUUGGGGGACUCAGCUGAAAUGACACCCCCCCCGCGCCCCCCCCCCCCCCCCCCCCCCCCCCCCCCCCCCCCCCAUUUUAGUCAUGCCUCACUCUGAUCCCCACAAUGCAUGUUGGUUUCAACAAGUACCAUACAUGUUCACUAGAUGGCCAGUGCUUCGACAAAUAGCUAUAUUCCACCGCUCCACAUGACUAUGCAUAUCAGAAUCGUCACAAACAAUCUAUUAUAUUGCAAGGUCUGUUGUGUGUGAUUCCUGUCUAGGCUUGUACCUUGCAACUGCUGAUGUCAACCCAGUGUGCUUAUUUCUAAACCCUGCCCUCAACACACCAGUUUACUAAUAUUCCUGAGCGUUUUUGGUUCACAGUAGAGCGCUCACAUUUUAUCUCUAACCAUUUUCAGAAUCACAGCACCCAACAUUGCUCCAUGUUUCCUUGUUCCCUGCAAUUUAAUUCAAUUUCAAUUUGCCUUACCAUACCAAUUGAUGUGCUACGGUGGAUUUUACUUCAUUUUUGUUACAUACAUAAUAUGUGCAGGUUCUACGAUAUUCAAUCAGAGCUGUUGGUACUGUCAGUUGCCCCUAUGUAUUGCCACCGUUCUUAAAACUCCAUAGUAGUUACUUGGAGAUCAGAUGCGACAAAUAUGCACACCAAAGGGGCUUCUUCAGAUGCCAUCAGAGUUAGCACAUCUAGUGCCCCUAGUACAUCAAGUCAUGGUUCUGCACAAGAUGACUAUGAUUCCUCAGGUGACGUGUACGUGUGGGGUGAAGUCAUUUGUGACAACACCGUAAGAGUUGGUUCUGACACGGUAAUCAGGUCAACUGGGAAGACCGAUGUUCUUCUGCCUAAGCCCUUGGAGUCCAAGUUAGUUCUUGACGUGUAUCAUGUGGAUUGUGGAGUCAAGCACGCUGCUCUGGUCACAAAAAAUGGGGAAGUGUUUACAUGGGGUGAAGAAUCUGGGGGCCGUCUUGGCCAUGGAUCAAGGGAAGACUCUGUUCAUCCUCGUCUAGUCGAGUCGUUAGCAAUUAGCAAUGUGGACAUCGUUGCCUGUGGGGAGUUCCACACUUGUGCGGUCACAACGGCUGGGGAACUGUACACCUGGGGCGAUGGAACACAUAAUAUUGGACUUCUAGGCAAUGGUACUGAUGUAAGCCAUUGGAUUCCUAAAAGGAUUUUAGGAGCGCUGGAUGGUCUUCAAGUUGCCUAUGUUUCUUGUGGGACCUGGCAUACAGCCUUGAUUACAUCAAGAGGCCAGCUAUUUACCUUCGGUGAUGGUACAUUUGGAGUCUUAGGACAUGGAAACCGUGAAAGUAUUUCGUGUCCAAGGGAGAUAGAGUCUUUAUCUGGGUUAAAAACAAUUGCUGUUGCAUGUGGUGUAUGGCACACUGCAGCGGUUGUAGAAGUUAUAGUGACCCAAUCCAGUUCAAGUAUAUCUUCUGGAAAACUCUUCACGUGGGGAGAUGGUGACAAACAUCGGCUUGGUCAUGGUGACAAGGAACCAAGACUUAAGCCUACGUGUGUGGCUUCACUUAUUGAUUACGAUUUCUACAGGAUAGCAUGUGGUCAUAGUCUCACUGUAGGCCUGACAACAUCUGGACAGGUUCUGAGCAUGGGUAAUACUGUUUAUGGUCAACUUGGGAAUCCCCGCUCAGAUGGCAAACUUCCAUGCUUAGUUGAAGAUAUUAUGAGUGAACAUGUUGUCCAAGUUGCCUGUGGUUCCUACCAUGUUGCAGUCUUAACAAAUAAGAGUGAGGUCUUUACAUGGGGGAAAGGGGCCAAUGGAAGAUUGGGCCAUGGAGAUAUAGAGGAUAGGAAAAUACCUACACUGGUCGAGGCGUUGAGAGACAGGGCUGUUAGGCACAUAGCUUGUGGCUCAAACUUCACUGCAGCUAUAUGCCAGCAUAAGUGGGUCUCAGGAGCUGAGCAGUCGCAGUGUGCUUCAUGCCGGCAGCCGUUUGGAUUCACCCGAAAGAGGCAUAACUGCCAUAAUUGUGGACUUGUCCAUUGUAAUGCAUGCACCUCGCGUAAAGCUCUGAGAGCUGCAUUGGCUCCUAAUCCUGCGAAACCAUACCGUGUUUGUGAUUCCUGUUUCAUGAAAUUGAACAGUGCGGCAUACUCCAGUGCAAUUAAUCAAAAUAAGAGGAAAGAGGCUGUUCCUCGCCACUCUGGUGAAAGCAACCCUGAUACUAAAUUGGCUAAAGCAAUUGUACCCAGCAAUUUGGAUAUGAUUAGAAGUUUGGAUAGCAAGGCAGCAAAACAAGGGAAGAAAACUGAUGCACUGUCAUUUCUUCGGAAUCCUCAAAUGACUUCACUUCUUCAGCUAAGAGAUAUUGCUUUAUCUGGUGGAAUUGAUCUGAACAAAUCAGUUCCAAGAGCAGUUCGCACAUCAGCAGUUCGAUCUUUGAACUCAUCUAGGGCCGUUUCCCCUUUCUCUCGCAAGCCUAGUCCACCACGUUCAACCACACCAGUCCCAACAACUCAUGGCCUUUCUAUUGCUAAAACUGCUGCUGACAGUCUUGCAAAAACUAACGAGAUGUUAAAUCAAGAGGUUGAAAGACUCCGUGCACAGGUAUUGAGGUUGAUUUAUAUGCAAGUACGUACCUUUGUGUUGUUACGCGGACAAACAAUAAAAUUUGUGCACCUUUUUAGGUUGAUAAUCUGAGGCACCGCUGUGAACUUCAAGAACUUGAGUUGCAGAAAUCAGCAAAGAAAGUACAAGAGGCCAUGACACUGGUUUCAGAGGAAUCUGCAAAGUCUAAAGCUGCUAAGGAAGUCAUAAAGUCCCUAACAGCACAGGUAAUACCGACUGGCGUAGUACAUUUAUGCCUUCCUAGCGAUAAUGUUGCUUUCCCGUCGUAUUCAUUGCAAAUAAAUAUAAUUAGCUAUUAAGAUUCCCAAGACACUUUCUUCAUGCAAACGGUAUUCUGGUGCUGGUUUGAUUCUGUCAACAAUCAUAUUAACAGAAGGCGUAUAUUUCCUAUUGCAAGAACAGCAAUGGCUUCAUGUCAGCAAAUUACACAUUCAGAAAAAUGCAGUACUUAUAUAUCUGACCCAAAAUAAAUUUGUGUACUCUGUACCUAGCUUGUCAAAAUAUCGAUGCGAGCUUAUUUUAUCCUGGCAAAGUGCCAACUUUCUUUGGUUGUUUAACUGAGAUUGCUUUCUCUGGUGAUUGUUGCAUGUACCUUUUGCUGUGGCUUGUUUAGCUCAAGGAUAUGGCUGAAAGACUACCUCCAGAUCAGGGAGCCUAUGAUGGCAGUGAAGCCAAACAAGUGCACGUUCCCAAUGGCAUCGAGAUGUAUGCUUCUAUUUACACUAGCAUGAAUGGUAUUCAUCAGCCACGAAAUGAGUCUGUCAGUGCUGUCAGCACACCGAGCCUGAAUAUGGGACGAGCGUUGCAUCCAAAUGGAAUCUCAAGUCAACAUAAAUCACCAGGAAGUAUUAGUGAAAAUAGCGAAGUGAGUGCUCACAGCCAUAGGGUUUCAGGCCCUCCCGACGCUGAAAAGUUGAAUAGAAGGGGACAUAUCAGUAGUGAUGAGAUGCUGAGUGCAAGCAGUAGAGCAGAUGAUAGCAGCAGCCAGGAUGGUAGGUCCCUUUUUAAUGGUGAGGAUGGCUACAAAUCUCGAAGCGUGGUAUCAAUUCCCAGCAACCAAGUCCAGGCUGAGUGGAUUGAGCAGUAUGAGCCAGGUGUAUACAUAACACUGACAACUCUUCGUGAUGGGACCCGAGAUCUAAAGCGCGUACGUUUCAGGUAAACAAUUGUCUUCCGCCUUCUUUCUUAGUGCUGCCAAGGUUAUUUCUUUUUGUUUAUUUCAUUUAUAAUUAGAUGCAUUACUAGUCGACUAAAUUAGUAAAAAUUGGAUUUGACAAAUCACCUUAUAGCUGGAAUGUAGCGCUGCAGAUCACCUCUGUUAGCAUAGAGCAGGCACAGUAUGUAGAACACAAUAUAGAAGUCUGUUUCCCCAUAAAGAGUAUCAAAUGGCACAAAAACUUAACCAAUCAAUUGACCCAGCGGUAUGAAAUGGCACAAAAUAUAGUGGAUCUUGUCAUGAACCAUGAAAGGGUUUCUUGCUUCUGUGCACACCUGUUUGCACUUAGCAGCGACUAAUUUGCCACUGUCUUUCUUCCUCGUGUCAUAAAUUUUCUGUGCAGUCGAAGGCGGUUUGGGGAGCAUCAAGCAGAGAGCUGGUGGAAUGAGAACCGCGACAAGGUGUACGAGAAGUACAACGUAAGGAGCUCCGAGCGAGUCUCGUCGGCAUCCUCAAUCCGGUCAGCUCGAUGACCUGCUACUUCCUGGCAGUUGCCGGAGGGGGAGGGUACGAAGCGCCAAAGCCCGUCGUGGCAAGGCCUUGAGAAAUUCUUUUUGGCCGUGUAAUGUCGAUAAUUCUUGUUACUACUUAUUGUUUUGAGAUUUGAGUCAUAUAAUUAUCCGUCCAAGGGCUGGUUAGCUAGCCCUGUUCCGAUGUAAUGUACAUAGAGCUGUGGUGCAGACUAGCAGAGGGAGGAACAGCCCAUUGGUCUUUGUUGUAGCCAAUGCAGGUGUAA